Varanus komodoensis (Komodo dragon) is the source of this 1993-nucleotide long non-coding RNA. RefSeq lists it as uncharacterized. The record is from RefSeq and is a predicted model, not a curated record. NCBI's taxonomy places the organism in Eukaryota, Metazoa, Chordata, Lepidosauria, Squamata, Varanidae. The transcript is spliced from 3 exons.
GAGACGGUAGUCUCCUUACGCGCGUGUCCUGGCAGCGGUUGUUGCCUGUAAAGAUGAGGUAAGGCGAGGUAAAGGAGUAGGCGGCGGGCUGCUUGCGGCGUUUCCCGCGGGAAUAGUGCAGCACGUUCCCGCUGCCACAUUGGACCACCUGGAAGAUCAUGAAGGAGCCACUCCCAGUUUAGGUUUCUCUGUGCAAAAAGGCGCAUUAUAGAAAAGCAGAUUUUAACAUCGUCCGUUGAAGAAGAAAGGGCUUGAGGAAGAUCUCACGUGCAGAUCGCUGGAGAGUUGUUUCAGACAAAGAACUUAAUUCUUUCAACCAGGAAUCCGUAGGGAAACUUGUUUAACGUGUGACAGUUGAACACGAAGAGCGUUAUGCAGUGCAGGAAAAAAAAGUGACUAUAGAUAGAUUUUUCACCAACAAUGACCCUGCAACUAAGAGACAAAGAAGAGAGGAAACCCCUGAGAGAUCUCCACAAUGUCCUAAUGAACAAUAACCUCCCCCGCACCUAGGAACAGUGGACUUCCGAAAUGGAUCCCCAACUGUCAAAUAUGCAACAUGGACGAUAACUCAUAUUGUUAGACUGUUGGAUGACAAGUCAAAAGAGGAUAAGGAGAUUAGAAGAAGCUGAAUGAAUUAUUUUCCUUUGUCUUCACUGCAGAAGAUAGAGAACAUGCAACUGUGCCUGAAAUGAGGUUUUCAGGAGGGAUUCUGUGGAAUUGAAACAGAUACUGUUGACAAGAGAUGAAGUUCUCAGCUUUACUGACAAAUAGAACAUUAAUAAAUUAAUGUGCCCAGUAACAUUAAUAAAUUACCUUAGUAUCCUUUCUAAAGUUCUUAACUCAAAUACGAAAUUGCUAAUCCUCUAACAAAAGCACGUAACAUGUCUCUGAAAUCAGCCUCUGUACCAGAGGACUGGACAAUAUAACACCAAUUUAAAAUGGUACCCUAGGGGAGAUUUAGGAAAUUACAAGCUGGUUAGCUUAAUAUGUGUUCCAGGUAAAUUGGAUGAAAGCAGUAUUAAAAAUAAAAGUAUUAAGCAUAUAGAAGAACAGGCCUUGCUGAAAAGGUAAGCUCUGUCUCUAGCCUUUUAAAUUUCUUCAAAAAUAUUGAUAAACAUGUGGAGAUGGGUGAUCUGGUAUUUAUUGUUUAUUUGGACUUCAAAAAGGAUUUUGACAAAAUCUCUUACCAAAGACUUCUGACCAAAUGUAUUAGUCAGGAAGUAAAAGGAGAAGUCAUCUAAUAGAUCAGUAAGUGAACAGAAAACAGAAAGGAGGAAUAAAUGGUAAAUUCUCCCAGUAGAAGGAUGUAAACAUUGGGAUUCCACAGGGUUCUAUACUCUGUAUGGUUUUCAACUAAUUCAUACACGAUCUACAAUUAGGAGUAAACAGCAAAGUUGUCAAGUUUGGGGAUGGCAUUGAACUAUUUAGGAUGGUUAAACCCAAAUGUAAUUGUAAGGAAAUCCAAAACUGGAAGAAUGGACAACCAAAUAGCAAGUGCAAUUUUGGGUAAGCAAGUGUAAGGUGCUGUUCAUUCGGGAAGAAAAUCCUAUCUUUAAACUGAUGGGAUCUAAGCUAGUGGUGACUGACGAAGAAAGAGAUCUUGAGAUUAUGAUGGACAGCUCAAUGAAAAUGUCAACCCAAUGUGCAACUGUUGUGAGAAAGGCAAAUUCCAUGUUGGCAAUAAUUAGAAAAGGAACUGAGAAUAAAACUGCUAAUAUCAUACUGCCAUUAUAAGAAAUGUUAAUACAACUACAUAUAAAAUACUGUAUACAGUUCUGGUUGCUGCACCAUAAAAAGGAUACUGUAGAGCUGGGAAAGAUGCAGGAAGGGUCAACUGAAAUGAUCAUGGAACUGGAGUAACUCCUUUGCAAGAAUAUGUGACAACAUCAGAGUCUAUUUAACUCAGAAAAGUGGAGCACAAGGAUAGACUGAUAAAGAUGUACAAAAUUACAAAACAGAUAAAUGGAAAGACUUCACACAGCACACAAUGAAA